Molecule: long non-coding RNA, 457 nt
Organism: Gambusia affinis (western mosquitofish)
Lineage: Eukaryota; Metazoa; Chordata; Actinopteri; Cyprinodontiformes; Poeciliidae
Exons: 3
Source: RefSeq, a predicted model, not a curated record
GGGGCUUUACAGGGACCAAACUGGACAAAUACCACUGUUCCUGGAAGUGAACUUCUUUUCUUCUCUCUCUCUACACACUGCAACACAUCUUGUCUUGCAUUAUUUUAUUAAAUAUUUCCUUCACUGAAGGCCAGUGUUGUGAAGUAACGAAGUACAAGUACUUAGUUACUGUACUGAAGCACAAUUUUCGUGUAUCUGUACUUUACUUAAGUAGAUUUAAUAAUGGAUACUUUCGACUUUUACUCCACUACAUUUUACACUGUGUUAGAAGCGUGGCUCUCAGGUGUGAGACCAGCACCCUCGUCGCAUUUUAACCGUCUCUGGAUGUCGUUAUGAAACGAGCCGGACUCGGUUCACUCCUCGUCAGAAUGUGGAGGGAGGAACAGAGGGAGACGCUGAACCGCCCAAUGACAACUAGGAGAUAAAGGCCAUUCUGCCCGGUAACAAACGCCUACAA